ACGCUCGACACCUACGUGGAGGCAGCAGGUGGGGAAUAUUGGGCAAUGGAGGCAACUCUGACCCAGCAACGCCGCGUGAGCGAUGAAGGUCUUCGGAUUGUAAAACUCUUUAAGUAGGGACGAAGAAAGUGACGGUACCUACAGAAUAAGCCUCGGCUAACUACGUGCCAGCAGCCGUGGUAAUCUGAGCGGCUGGCAAGGC
Molecule: ribosomal RNA, 202 nt
Filed under: uncultured bacterium
Lineage: Bacteria
Description: partial 16S ribosomal RNA
Rfam family: Bacterial small subunit ribosomal RNA
Source: RNAcentral